CUCCACGCCGUAAGCCCAAGGUUUCCUGUUCAACGUUCAUCGGAGCAGGGUGAGUCGGCCCCUAAGGCGAGGCAGAGAUGCGUAGCUGAUGGGAAGCAGGUUAAUAUUCCUGCACCGUCGUAUGAUGCGAUGGGGGGACGGAUCGCGGAAGGUUGUCCAACUGUUGGAAUAGUUGGUUUUUGGCUCAUAGAAGGCGCUUAGGCAAAUCCGGGCGCGUAAUUCAAGGGGUUGAGACGAGUGAACUUGUUCACGAAGCAAUCGGAAGUGGUUCCAAGAAAAGCCUCUAAGCUUCAGUCAUACGAGACCGUACCGCAAACCGACACAGGUGGGUGAGAUGAGUAUUCUAAGGCGCUUGAGAGAACUCGGGAGAAGGAACUCGGCAAAUUGGUACCGUAACUUCGGGAAAAGGUACGCCCCGGUAGCUUGGUCACUUUACUGUGAUAGGGCGAAAGGGUUGCAAUAAACUGGUGGCUGCGACUGUUUAAUAAAAACACAGCACUCUGCAAACACGAAAGUGGACGUAUAGGGUGUGACGCCUGCCCGGUGCUGGAAGAUUAAAUGAUGGGGUGCAAGCUCUUGAUUGAAGUCCCAGUAAACGGCGGCCGUAACUAUAACGGUCCUAAGGUAGCGAAAUUCCUUGUCGGGUAAGUUCCGACCUGCACGACUGGCGUA
RNAcentral lists this ribosomal RNA (672 nucleotides) under Flavobacterium cupreum. RNAcentral describes it as "partial 23S ribosomal RNA". It matches the Rfam family "Bacterial large subunit ribosomal RNA", at positions 1330 to 2003 of the family's 2925-position model. Lineage: Bacteria; Pseudomonadati; Bacteroidota; Flavobacteriia; Flavobacteriales; Flavobacteriaceae. The record is from RNAcentral.